RNAcentral lists this ribosomal RNA (347 nucleotides) under Escherichia coli. Its description in RNAcentral is "partial 23S ribosomal RNA". It matches the Rfam family "Bacterial large subunit ribosomal RNA", at positions 138 to 523 of the family's 2925-position model. The record is from RNAcentral. Lineage: Bacteria; Pseudomonadati; Pseudomonadota; Gammaproteobacteria; Enterobacterales; Enterobacteriaceae.
AUUCGUCACACUAUCAUUAACUGAAUCCAUAGGUUAAUGAGGCGAACCGGGGGAACUGAAACAUCUAAGUACCCCGAGGAAAAGAAAUCAACCGAGAUUCCCCCAGUAGCGGCGAGCGAACGGGGAGGAGCCCAGAGCCUGAAUCAGUGUGUGUGUUAGUGGAAGCGUCUGGAAAGGCGCGCGAUACAGGGUGACAGCCCCGUACACAAAAAUGCACAUACUGUGAGCUCGAUGAGUAGGGCGGGACACGUGGUAUCCUGUCUGAAUAUGGGGGGACCAUCCUCCAAGGCUAAAUACUCCUGACUGACCGAUAGUGAACCAGUACCGUGAGGGAAAGGCGAAAAGAA